Lagopus muta (rock ptarmigan) is the source of this 7897-nucleotide long non-coding RNA. RefSeq lists it as uncharacterized. The record is from RefSeq and is a predicted model, not a curated record. The transcript is spliced from 3 exons. Lineage: Eukaryota; Metazoa; Chordata; Aves; Galliformes; Phasianidae.
GUAUAACAAGGGGAGAACAGUUAGUGCUGAUUUCCAUUUGCAUAAAUUUUCAUAUAUUUUGGUGAAAAUAAUAGACGGGCGGCGAGAGCGGGGCUCGGCGGAGUCAGUGAGAGGGAAAAGCGGAGCGGGGAGAGCCGCGCUGGAGCCGAGAAGGCGCGGUGUGCCCCCGUCACCCCAUUAAAACCCCAAAUUAAAGCAAAAACGUAUCUCCUCAGUGCUGCGAGUGCGCUCGGCCCACUCUGUUCUCCAGCCUCGUUACAUGGGUUUCUGUCUCUCCUCAGCAUCCCCUUGAAUGGCAUCUACUGCACAUAACUUUUUCAGCCCACAAAGCUGAAACGCUUUUUGUGACUCAAAUGGCUCCAGCACAGCUAUUCCCUAGAAGAUAUCCUCCCUGAUUUCUUGUGGUGCCUGUUAGAUUGCUGAAGUUGCAGGUGAGUGUAAACAUGGAGAAGAGGGCCUCUAUUCUUACAGUGCUCUGUUGUGAAUGAAGUCUCUAUCACCUUUUUGACAGUUCAGAGAUAAACCAGAUACCAGAAUAGAGGAAUGUUUCUCAGAAGGACCAGUGAGACAUCUCCUGACCUCUGUCUCCAUCUGAGGAUAUAUCUGGAGUAGAACAGAGAAGCAAAGGCACCACAGACUACAGAUACCCAUGGGGAAUAUUGUUCUGCCUUAAGGCUCAGCUCUACAACAUGGCCAUGGCCAGAUGAGGAUGGACCUUGUAUACUUAUAGGUUCCUGUGAGUGGGUGAAGUGGGUGAGGGUUUCUACAGAGGCUGGGAACAGUCUGAAGGGAUGCUAAUCUGGGUGGUGGGGGACUGGGACUCCAUGACAUACUGUUGCAGAUCAAAAGAUAAGUCUAGUUGCAGACAUUGAGCCUUUGGUUUUCUUGCCUUCCUUCUAACCUGUUUUCCCAAGAAUUUAUUUGUCUGCUUUUUCCUUAUCUGCAGACAGGGCUAUAAGACAUACCAUACUACAGCAAAUAUGGCUACUCGCUCCAUGCUGGGCUAUGGGAAAAAGUUUUGCACAGCUCUAAUAAAACAGGUUAACAGCUACAAGUUUAAAAACCUCCUAACCUUCCCUGGACCUCAGAAGGCCCAGUUAGGAUCCCUCACCCAUCUUGAUUAUCUGUAAGUAGAUCAGACAGCAUCUCAUUUCUUAGACAUAAAUGUUCAGUGGUGUUCUGCAGUUGCUUCAAGAGUAAAGAAUCUUCCUCCUGGCUCCUUCUGAGCAGUCACUGGCAUUGGUCAACCAAAACACACCUUGUCUUAGCCAGAAGCCAGUAUCAGAUAAUAUGAAAGGGAACUCCCCCCUCCUUCCCGGGUAUUUAUUUGAGGGUAUAACAGUAUAUCAUGGAAGAUGAUGCCUUUCUGACUCCAUGUAUUGACUAGCUUUUACCAAGAACUACUGACACUAUUACAUAAUACUUGCUAGUAAAAUUCUCACAGAUUUUUUCAAGGCCGGGAACAACCAUUGUUAUCAUCCAGUCUGAUCUUCUGCAUAAUAUAUGCUACUGAACUUAACCCAAUCUGAACUUGGUAUGUAGAUUUGCUUUUAUGUCUAAAAAUGCCUCCUCAUUUACAAAUAUGAUACUGUUUCACCGAGUACUAUCUGUGCAGCAGCAAGUUCCAUUAAUUAACUGUACAUUGUUUGGAAAAGCAAUACCUCUUAGCCGUUUGAAAUUCGAUCCCUCUUCGUUUCACCUUGCAGGAUAGGAAAGGGUUUUUAUUCCUUUGCUGCUAAUUAGGUUGGAGGAUCAUGAGGACAAAAUGUUAUUUAUAUUAUAGUCAUGCUUAAGGAGAGCUCUGACGAAGCCUGGGGAUCUCACUGCACAAAGUGAGGGAGACUGUGCAAUUGCUUCAGGACUGAGACUGUUUGAGCAGACGAAUGGCACAUUUUCAAAAGAGCUGAAUGAUUUCACCAAAACGAAUGUCAGACAAGUCCGUGGAUUCAUACUUCUCAAUCACCUAUACAUUUCUGAAAAAUCAAUCCAAAGUUUGAAGGAAAUAAAGGUAUGGAAAAACAAAGUCCCUGAAGCCAAGACCAAGAAAUAAGUCUGGUAUAUAGUCACCAAAAAGAAAAACGUGGUGCUAAUAUGCAGCUCUGUGUGCACUGCCCAUAGGUCAGUUUGGCUUCCAGAAGCUCAUGGUGUUAAAGUCCUCCCUUUAAGAGAGCAGGGUACACUGGGGAAAGUACAACGUCUGCUGCAUGCACAGUCCCCUAAUCUUUUGCCUAGGGGCCAAGGACAACUACAUUAACUCAGGCAACAGUGGUUAUCCAAGUUUAUGGAAAGGGUUCACGUAAGAUUUGCAGUCCCAUGAGGGUCAAUCUGCCUUGAGAGAUAGGCUGCGGUUUGUGCUCUUUCUCUCUUCUCAAGGAAAUUCCCCAUCCUUUUGACUUCUAUCAUUUUUUAUUGCCAUUCUCUGGACUUGUUCUAUUUCUACUUUCUUUUUUACAGGGAUGAGGUGACCAAAUUUGAAGACAGUAUUCAAAGUGAGGAUGUGCCACUGAUUUAUAUAAUGGCAUUAUAAUAUUUUCCAUAUUAUUCUCUAAAACUCUUUUCUUCAUACAAACCCCUUAAGAUUCUUUUUAAUUCUUUGAACUAUAGUGCCUUUUAACAUCUGUAGUUUACUCUGAUCAGAUUUUGACAAAGGAAUAAAAGGCUCCAUUUUUCACAUAGAAUUUUAUUUAUUGUUUGAACUUUAGAGGAGAAAUUGGUUAACUUACAAUUUAAAAUUCUUGGCAAUGUAGACCAUUGGACAAGGAUUUCAUUAUCAGCCCUUCUGUACUUUCUGUAGAAAUGCACAAACCUGAAAGUUGGUGGACAAAGUCUUGGCAAAAAGACUUUGCUUUUGUAUUAUAAACACAGCCAAAGACUUAGUUUGGAGCUGCUAGCAUCCCCAAAGAUGUCAGAAAUAUGAUUAUUCUGUACCCCCUUCCUGGUGCAGUGAGCUGGGGCCACGCACUGACAUGCCAUCCAGCCUGUGCCAUGCAUGUGUGCAAGCGGUACCCAAAUGCCGUGACCUCCUGUUUACCUUACCACAUACUUCCACAGCAGGUCAGGGAAAGACUCCUCUGAAAAUUAGGUGCUUGAUGACUGCAGAGGGUGAGAAUCUUGCUUUCAUGUCACAGCUGGGUGUGAUGCCUUCAUGGGAGUACGAGAAAAGGCUCAAGGAAAUCAGUUACAUCCAUUCUAUUGCCUAAGACACUUCCUGCAGCUACUGACUUGCCUUAGACUUACGAAUCCAAAUGCUGACCCUGCCUGACCCUACUUAUCUUUUAAAAGCUGACAAGAUCACAGCCUGAAGCAGUAUAGCCACAGGCUCAAUACUGGCUACCAAAAUGUCUGUUUAGUAUUUUCAAAAACGCUGCUCUUAAGAUUUACAAUACAAGCUUCUGGAUGUAUGGACAACACCGAAACACAACUCUGACCCCUGAACGUUCAGCCCCACUUACACAGAAAUUUGUGCCUCUCGAGGGGCCAGCACUGAGUUGCUGCAAAACAGUUAUUCCUUACCUGCAAGUGAGCUGGAAUUGAAGCGUCAUAGGGUUGUAUGCAUUCAGAUACUGGGUAAAAAUAUUUGAAAACUACAGCCUCGAUUUCAGAACUCAUUGUCAGCUUCUUUCAUUAUCUGCAUUACUGCUUUAACAGUAGAAAGAGUUCGGCCCUUUCUGUGUAAUAUCUUUUUUGGUUUAAUAUAGAAAAUCAUCCCAAUUCUUCUAUGACCAAAGCAGUUUUUCAUCAGAGGUUGGUUUUAGAUGAACUGUAAGUUUCUUCCCUAGCAAUGAAAGAAAACACAUAUUUUUCUGAAUAUUUCUAAGGUUAAAUGGAUAAACACAGUUUUAAAUACUCAGGAUAAACUAAAGGACCAAUCUAGUUUAGUUGUUUGUGCUUUUUAUAUAAAUUCAUAAUUCUUGCAGAGUGUUUUUUUCUUUUUUCUUUUUUCUUUUUUUUUUGUGUGUUUUUUUAAACAGCAAAGACAUGGAAGAAACACUGAGGUCUUAUUGCUCCUGUUGGAAACUUCUGCUGACUACAGCAAGAGUUGGACUGGGCCCAGAGAAACCAAAUACACACAAGUUGCAAUGAGUUGGCCAUACAAGCAAGGAAAAUCACAGAUAACAGAUGCGCACAAAUUAGUAAUGUACCUUUUAGGUCAUCCAGUAGAGCUUGCUGACACAUUGAGAUUGUCUCCUAUGGCGUAUUUUUUGUUGCUUUGGAUGCCUGGAUCAAAUGUCCUAAGUAAUAUCAUGUACUUAAGGAGAGAUUGUGCUGCCUAGUAUAUCCUGUUAAAAGUUUUUUUUCCUUUCUUAACAUCAUCAUAUUUCUCCCAGUUACAUUCCUUUGCAAACCUCCUUAUUUCCUUUCUACAAUGCUAUUUUUCUCCAGUGUCUUUAGACAAAUGUGAUGUUCCAUUUAGUUAACAUUAAGUCAGUUCAUACCUAUUUAGAUUAUUUAAUCUUUUCUGAUAAAUCAGUCUUUUCAGUCUCCUGGUUAUUUUCUCAUCUCCUCUUGUCCCACUCCUGUCUGCCAGUAUCUUUUUUAGCUAUAAGUUUUAAAGAUGUGGUGCAUUUAUCUAACAGCAGGUCUGGCACAGACUUGAGCACUCUCAAUAUCUUCUCACUGAAAACCACUCCUGAUGCGCUCAAGGGAAAGUCACUGGCAUUCUGAGGAGACAAGCAGGCAGAGCAUCCUGUUCAAAUCAUUUCCUUGGUACCACCUGUUUUACUGAUCAACAACAACAAAAAACAUUAGAACACUUAGCCUAGUGAUUGAAAAACCAAAUAUAGGUCACUAUAGAUUAAUUAUAUUUGUUUUUAUAGCACUAGGAAAUACAAUGGCAGAGAGCAAAAUGUAUUUCUUCUCAAUAUUUUCAAACUCUUGGUUGUGGACAUCACAAUCUAAAAUUAUGGAAGACACUGUCUUGUCUAGUAACUAUAUUUGGGUGCCACUGGAGUACACUGUAGAAAGUAAUUAUAUAUGUAGUCACAAGCCUAGCUUUUCACUUCAGGCAAUAAAUUCUGAUCAACAAACAACACUCCUUUAGUGCUAAAUGAAAUCUUGGCUGUAAUUGAACGUCUUUACCUUUGUGUUCUGUUGGAUUGGAGGAAUAUCAUUUUAAUCUGCUCUCUUUAAAUUUUCAUUAAGGAACGUUUCAGCUACCUGCAGCCUCAUCUGAUGAUGUUUAAUGAUAUCAGCUGGCGCAUUCUUCCGUGCACCAGCAGGGGCUUCUUUAAAUUGGUCAACUGCACAGAACAUUGUUUUUGUGUUUAAUGUACUUGGAAUCAGCCUUUUAAAAUAAUGAUGUCAGACAGUUUAUAUACGUAGCGCACACACAUAUGUGCAUGUGUAUGUAUGCGUAUAUAUGCGUAAGUGCACACAUACAUAGAGAAACACUGAUCCUAUUCACCUUCUUGAAAACAUUUCAGCUAGUAUUAGCAUAAAUGUGCUGUUAAGUUGGCAGUGUUAUACAUUUUUGUUGGAGUUUACUUCUGUAACCUAAAAUCAGGCAGAUAAGCUGUGAAACUCAUGCAGCUGAUGACAUAAUGCUGGGAUCUCAUGAUGCUGAAUCUCAUAUUUCUAGGCAUAAAGGAUGGAUGUUCCUUUCUGGAAUUAUUAUGCCUCCUAUUGCAAUAUAUAUUUCUUGUUCUCAUGUGGGCACUGAGAUGUUCAAACCAUUAAAUGUGUAUGGUAUAAUGAGUCCUGUGUUCCUUAUUUAUUCUAAAGAAGGCAUUAACUUUCUAUGGUUGUUUUAUUGUAUAAUAAAGCCUACUACUCUAAGAAUCUGUGAUGAACAUAGCAAUAAGCUGUGACAAUAUGCAUAGUUACAUUUAAUGCUGAUGUCCAAAUGUACAUAUGUGCAUAUAAAUAAGCAUAUAUGUAUAUUCAAGCACUCAAAGAUAGACACACAAAUUAUAUACAAUCAAUUAGGAUGUGGCAUAAGCAGAUUCAAAGCUUACCUGUUAUGGCUUUGUAAAGGGGGAAAUCUGAGCCACAAAGACACACGUGAAAGUAAAGCUCAAUAUACACCAUUGGCUCGUUACCAUUAUGCUCAACAGUGACAGGCUGUAUGCUAAGACGGGGUACCAGCAGACAUUCGCCAUGACAGCUGGUUCAAAACAGAGCUUUCAAAAUAGUGCAACACCCCUCACUUCCUUCCAAAUCCUGGUGUUUGCCAGCAGCACUUAGCUGAGGCUGGCUCUGAAGGUCAGAUGUUCAGAUAAAAGUUGCUUGAAAUGAAUCUGCUUCUUUGUGUUUGGACUGUAUAUAUGUUCAGCAUAGCAUCUAGGAUCUUUGUGAAUUUGUGUUUGAGUUAACACAUGAGUAGUGCUUGCCUAUUACCUGAAAAAAUGAUGGAUGUUUCUCCCCGACACCAUGCUCUAUUUGCCUGAGAUUGUCCUCUAUCAAAUUCUCCUUUCUUUUGUGGGCUACGUAAAAUGAGAGCCAUACACAGGCUUCUUGUUUUCACCAGAAAAAAAAAAAAAAAAAAAAAAAAGCACAACCCCUCUGUUGAGAAAUGGAAGCAAAAUGGUUUCUCUUUAACAUCACCCACAUCACACACAGUGCUUAACCAAUUAGGGACAAAGCAUAAAAAAUACUUAGUUUGUCCUGUGUGACUUUUCUCAGUAGAUACAUAUAGAAUCUGGAAAUAAACACACUCCUCCUUGGGAAGGAAAUGCAAACAGGGUUUAUCUAUUUGCAUUUGAACUCAGUGAAAAAUAACCAGGCACAAAAAGCAAGCUUGAAGAUAGGACAUGAGUAUAAGUAAAGCUAAAUUUCAGCAAGCCAAAUUCUGCCACGCUGUUAUAAUUGCUAUGCAAAACACGAGCUAAUUCACUGUUCCAUUGUGCUGGUGAAAUAGGUAUGCAUUAUAUAUGGGGUAGGUAGGGGAGCUUACACAGGGAUGCUGUUGACUUUGCUGAGCAGCCAGUGUGUGGAGAGCACGCCAUCAACAACCUUGUGAAAAUGAGGCUGGUGAACCGGCUUGGUCUCAGAAAUGACUUCAGAGUGGGUAGAAUAAUAUUUAAAAACUAUGAUAAAUUAUAGCUGCAGCACAAGAAUACUAAGUGUGUGAAGUUUACCAUUUCACCUGAGGACCCCAAGACCCGAGUGUCAGAUCUUCAGAGGAAUUCAGACAGCUAAACGUGCUGCUGCCUGGGGAUCUUCAGUGCUUCCCAGACACAUCCCUCCUAAUGCAAUCAAGGAGAUCCAGGUAUCAGGGCUCUUCAGAAAAGCAUUGAUCAGUCUCUCGGGCAGCUCCACUGCAUUCCCAGAGUAUUGACCCUGCUUCAGCUGGAGAUGCCUCUGGGGAGGCGCUGAGGUGAAUGGGAUGAGGCUGUGCUCAUUUCUGGAGGAGGUACAGCUCUCCUGCAAGCCAGAGGCAUGAGCAGGGCUGUUUCGCCGCAGCAGGCCUGCUGGGCUUACUGAUGCUCAGCUCGCCAGCUCCAGUGGUACGCGAACAGUGUGGAUACGCAUUGUGGCUGGCGAUGCUCCUGUUUGACAUCAGCCUUCCCUCCUGGAUCAGGGCCGCUGCUGAUUGCUGAGGGGUGGCCAGGAGCAGCUCCCUCUGGUGAACCUCUUUUGUGCUUUUAUCUCCCUCCUCUUGGCAGUGAGCUGCCACUGGCUGUCAGCCACGGCCCACUCGCCCUCCCCAGUGCCCAGCCGGCAUGCUCAGCCAGUGCCUACUUCUCUUCCAGCAGCUGGUCCUACUUCUCCUCCACAGCUGGCUGCUGCCCCCUACUGUGGUAAUUAUUAUUUAUGAUGGAUAUUCAGUGUACAUUAUGUGUCCAGAGUCCAGUACCAUCUGAGUCAGUACCAGGUUCCUACUGUGUGGGCAGAAGCACACAGCAAUACGCCAUUGUUCCACGUGUAUACCCACCCGACUCUCAUGCAAGGAUGGACU